RNAcentral lists this ribosomal RNA (587 nucleotides) under uncultured prokaryote. RNAcentral describes it as "bacterial SSU rRNA". It matches the Rfam family "Bacterial small subunit ribosomal RNA", at positions 338 to 916 of the family's 1533-position model. The record is from RNAcentral.
CCUACGGGAGGCAGCAGUAGGGAAUAUUGCGCAAUGGGCGAAAGCCUGACGCAGCCAUGCCGCGCGAGUGACGAAGGCCUUCGGGUCGUAAAGCUCUUUUCUGAGGGAAGAACAUCCAGUGGAGGAAAUGCCACUGGCCUGACGGUACCUCAGGAAUAAGGAACGGCUAACUCCGUGCCAGCAGCCGCGGUAAUACGGAGGUUCCAAGCGUUGUUCGGAAUUACUGGGCGUAAAGGGAGCGCAGGCGGUCUGAUCAGUCCAAAGUGGAAGCCCGGGGCUCAACCUCGGAAAGCCUUUGGAUACUGUCAGACUUGAGUACGUGGGAGGAAGGCGGAAUUCAAGGUGUGGCGGUGAAAUGCUUAGAUAUCUUGAGGAACACCAAUGGCGAAAGCAGCCUUCUGGCACGACACUGACGCUGAGGCUCGAAAGCGUGGGGAGCAAACAGGAUUAGAUACCCUGGUAGUCCACGCCGUAAACGUUGUGCACUAGGUGUAGGAGGUAUCGACCCCUUCUGUGCCGCAGCUAACGCAUUAAGUGCACCGCCUGGGGAGUACGCGCGCAAGCGUGAAACUCAAAGGAAUAGACGG